UACAGAGGGUGCGAGCGUUAAUCGGAAUUACUGGGCGUAAAGCGUGCGUAGACGGUAGCGUAAGUCAGAUGUGAAAGCCCCGGGCUCAACCUGGGAAUUGCAUUUGAGACUGCUCUGCUCGGGUGCGGAAGAGGGAAGCGGAAUUUCCGGUGUAGCGGUGAAAUGCGUAGAUAUCGGAAGAAACACCAGUGGCGAAAGCGGCUUCCUGGUCCGACACCGACGUUCAGGCACGAAAGCGUGGGGAGCAAACAGG
Molecule: ribosomal RNA, 253 nt
Filed under: uncultured bacterium
Lineage: Bacteria
Description: partial 16S ribosomal RNA
Rfam family: Bacterial small subunit ribosomal RNA
Source: RNAcentral